Molecule: ribosomal RNA, 253 nt
Filed under: uncultured bacterium
Lineage: Bacteria
Description: partial 16S ribosomal RNA
Rfam family: Bacterial small subunit ribosomal RNA
Source: RNAcentral
UACGAAGGGGGCUAGCGUUGCUCGGAAUCACUGGGCGUAAAGCGCACGUAGGCGGAUCUUUAAGUCAGGGGUGAAAUCCUGGAGCUCAACUUCAGAACUGCCUUUGAUACUGAGGAUCUCGAGUCCGGGAGAGGUGAGUGGAACUGCGAGUGUAGAGGUGAAAUUCGUAGAUAUUCGCAAGAACACCAGUGGCGAAGGCGGCUCACUGGCCCGGUACUGACGCUGAGGUGCGAAAGCGUGGGGAGCAAACAGG